UACAGAGGUGGCAAGCGUUGUUCGGAUUUACUGGGCGUAAAGGGCGCGUAGGCGGUCGUGACAAGUCACUUGUGAAAUCUCCGGGCUUAACUCGGAACGGUCAAGUGAUACUGUCGGACUAGAGUACAGAAGGGGCAACUGGAAUUCUCGGUGUAGCGGUGAAAUGCGUAGAUAUCGAGAGGAACACCUGCGGCGAAGGCGGGUUGCUGGGCUGAUACUGACGCUGAGGCGCGAAAGCGUGGGGAGCGAACAGG
This 254-nucleotide ribosomal RNA is filed under the name uncultured bacterium. Its description in RNAcentral is "partial 16S ribosomal RNA". It matches the Rfam family "Bacterial small subunit ribosomal RNA", at positions 524 to 776 of the family's 1533-position model. The record is from RNAcentral.